Molecule: ribosomal RNA, 200 nt
Filed under: uncultured bacterium
Lineage: Bacteria
Description: partial 16S ribosomal RNA
Rfam family: Bacterial small subunit ribosomal RNA
Source: RNAcentral
GACGAACGCUGGCGGCGUGCUUAACACAUGCAAGUCGAACGAUGAAGCCCAGCUUGCUGGGUGGAUUAGUGGCGAACGGGUGAGUAACACGUGAGUAACCUGCCCUGGACUCUGGGAUAACCCCGAGAAGUCGGAGCUAAUACCGGAUAGGACCUGGAACCGCAUGGCUUUGGGUGGAAAGUUUUUUCGGUCUGGGAUGG